This 495-nucleotide ribosomal RNA is filed under the name uncultured bacterium. RNAcentral's name for it is "partial 16S ribosomal RNA". It matches the Rfam family "Bacterial small subunit ribosomal RNA", at positions 28 to 507 of the family's 1533-position model. The record is from RNAcentral.
GACGAACGCUGGCGGCGUGCCUAAUACAUGCAAGUAGAACGCUGAAGGAGGAGCUUGCUCUUCUGGAUGAGUUGCGAACGGGUGAGUAACGCGUAGGUAACCUGCCUGGUAGCGGGGGAUAACUAUUGGAAACGAUAGCUAAUACCGCAUAACAGUAGAUGUUGCAUGACAUUUACUUAAAAGGUGCAGUUGCAUCACUACCAGAUGGACCUGCGUUGUAUUAGCUAGUUGGUGGGGUAACGGCUCACCAAGGCGACGAUACAUAGCCGACCUGAGAGGGGGAUCGGCCACACUGGGACUGAGACACGGCCCAGACUCCUACGGGAGGCAGCAGUAGGGAAUCUUCGGCAAUGGACGGAAGUCUGACCGAGCAACGCCGCGUGAGUGAAGAAGGUUUUCGGAUCGUAAAGCUCUGUUGUAAGAGAAGAACGAGUGUGAGAGUGGAAAGUUCACACUGUGACGGUAGCUUACCAGAAAGGGACGGCUAACUACGUG